CUAGACCCCAGGUGGGUUUAUCCUUUUUUCUUCCACUAAUUCCCCCAGUCACGACACUGUCCAGUGGAGAAGAUGAGGUUUCAACAGUGCUUCCUUUCCUACCAGAUGACCGUGGGAAGUGAAUGUACUCUAAAUAUAAUCAGCCUCUUACCCGGCUCCAGGAGUAGUGUUGUUUUGAAUCCGGCCACCAUCACACCAUAAGGAGAGCAUCCCCCAUAAGCUCAAGUGCUGUAACCCGUGGGCCGCCGCUAGCUUUUGCACUGCAGAUAUUUAAACGUAAUUGCAUGUAACACUUUAUUUAUAGUAAUGAAAAAGUACUUAAAAGCCAAUUACAUAGUUGGAAAUUGCACAUCUCUAAACAGAUGUAGAAUAAUUAAAAAGAAAUCUACCACCCAUCUACCAUCUACAGAAACUCCUUGGAAUUACCAACAUGAUUUAUGUCAGAAUCCUCCAGGCAGUUCCUCUGGUGAAAUGGCUGGCCUGUAUUAGGUACAUUAGCCUAAUGCACCUUUCAUAUGGCUUAAUGGGGAAUUGACGUGUAGUUUCCAUGCAUUCGUUAUUCUUUUUAUGAUCAAAAUUAUUCAUUCAGGAGCAAUACGUUUCUGUAAAUUUCCUUUGCCAAGAAGUGGUUUUGGUGAGCAAGUCCUUUGAGGUGUUUAUCGGUAGACAUGGGAUAAAAGGAUGGUGUUUUCCAUGGGGAUGAGGGAAGGGUGUCUUUACGCAGAUACAUCAUUCACUGACUGCAUCAAGCUCCCCAUAUGACACCAAUCAAAGAACCUAAACUAGGAAUUCGUCAUAGCUGAGAAGUCCCUGGUCAGCUUCCAUUCAUUUUGAGGGCAAAUAGGAAUAGAAUGAAUAACGGAAACCCAUCCCUCAUGUUAUUCUUAUCCUUAACUAUUUCCUUCUGAGCCACCCCCACACACAGUUGAUCAAAAGAGGAAGUUCAUAGGUAUCUUUGGUCGUGGAAGGAUUGUUAUACUCUAAAAGCUAACAACACACAGGAAUCUGACCAUCAUUAUAGAUGAAACCAUUUGCACCAAAGAAGAUUCUUGUUCCAUUUGGAAAUUUAAAAAAAAGUCCUCGAGGAGUUCCCGAUGUGGCUCAUUGAAAAUGAACCUGGCUAGUAUACAUGAGGAUGCAGGUUCAAUCCCUGGCCUCACUCAGUGGGUUAAGGAUCCAGCAUUUCAGUGAGCUGUGGUGUGGGCUGCAGAUGAAGCUUGGAUUGUGCCUUGCUAUGGCUGUGACUAAGCAAGCAGCUGCAGCUCUGAUUCAACUCCUAGCCUGGGAACCUCCAUAUGCUGAAUGUGUGGCCCUAAAAAAGCAAAAAAAAAAAGGAAGGAAAAAAAAAGAAAAAAUUCUGAAAAGUUUGACCCUGGACUUAACAGAAAAAUAGUCUCUUGGAAAACUUCUAUUAAUAACUUCAAUAUUAUGUCAGUGUAUUUUUCAGUCUUGAUCCAGCAUAAUUAACAUUUUCACUAAUAAAGAAUAUAUAUAUAUACAUAACAUAUAAAACAUAGCUAUGUCUACCUAGCAAGGAAGGGAAAUUCAACUUACUGUGGGUUUGUUACAUUCAAUUUUUUUUCUUCCUAAAAUAAAUAAAUAAUCUUAGUAUUUUCUAAACUCCCAAUGGUUUGUACCUUGUUUGGAAGCUCAAACAAAAAUACCUCUUUUUCUUACUCUCAUAUUCUUUAGUAGCCUCAACAGAAAUUUAGAAACUUUCUCCUCCAUGAGUAUGAAGGGGAGGGUGGAUUAUUUUGCUCCUUCCCCCAGCCCUGCCACAUCAGGCUCAUCUUUUUCUUUGUUUCGCGUCCUCUUUCAUUCUCCUCUGCCUUCCUCCUUAUCAAAACCUGCUGUGAGGAACAGACCUGGUGUGAGUCAUUGUCAGGAGUAUGACCGUCAGUUGCCGUGUUAUCUUGUUUUUCAGGCAAAUAAGCUGCAGGUGUCAGGAAAUGGGGAAAAGAGAGAUGUUUUGAGCAAGUAAGCUCUUUAUUGCCCACCCAAAUCAUUCCACACUUUCAACUUACAAGCCACCCUGUAAUACUUAGUCUGCAAAGGAGAAGGAAGGAGGCCCCUCGAUUUAUGGGUCAAAUACAACUGAUGAGGCUCCAUUUUCUCCAUGACCCUGCUCCCCUUCUCCCCCAUGCAUUUGGCAGGACACAUUGCCCUUGGGUUUCAUGACUGUGAUCCCCAAGUCUGACUUUUCAAUUUUCACUUCUUACUCAUCUGUAUCUAUUUUGUUAGUUUCUAUCUAUCCUUCAGUCAAGGUUCUUCUACUUCUCAUUCUGUUUCAUGUUUCACCCUUUCGAGUUUUUCCAAGCAUGUUCUUCUGAUGCUUGACUUCACAAGAGAUGGAUUGUACCUAAUGUUUCUGAGGAACAGCUUUACCAUCAUUUAAGACACAAGGUGACUUUAAAACACUAGGCAAACCAUAUGAUUCACACCACAUCUCCUAGCUCAGAUGACAAAGUCUAAGAAGAGGGGGGUGAGUGACUUAGGUAAGGUCACUGGCAGGGGACUAGUACCAUUUCUCUUGACACCCAGGAGUUUCCAAUCCAUUUCUCAGUUGACUGGACCAUUGUGCACCAGGGCAGAGAAGGCAUGAGAAUGGUGGAUGGCCAGGGCAGACACCAAGUGCCAUGCAGAAGGAGGCUCUCUUCUAAAGAUGUUUGCCUGCAUCAAGCAGACCUCACACUCUGACCAUUCAAACUCUCUUUCCACAAGGAAACAGAGUUGGAAGCAAAUUGUUCCUUUGCCUCUUUAUCUAGUCCUUUACCAAACAUUUAUUAGUCAUCUAACCUUGCCUGGGUAGUCAUACUACAGGGCCAGGGAAAUAGUUUGUGGUAGGUAUGGGCUAAACUGUGUCUCUCCCACAAAAUUCAUAUGUUGAAGCCCCUAAUACAGUAGAAUAUGACUCUUUUGGAGACAGGUAGAGCCUUUAAAGAGGUAAUUCAGGUUAAAUGAAGUCAUUAAGGCACACCUUAUCCAACAUAACGGGUGUCCUCAUAAAAAGAGAAGUUAAGGACACAGACACGGGUGCAUGAAGAGGAAAGAUGUGAAGACACAGGUGGUAGAAAGUGGCCACCUACAAGCCAAGGAAAGAGGAUUCAGAAAGAACCCAACUUUCCAACAACUUGACCUUGGACUUCCAGCAUCCAAAACUGUGAGACAAAUAAAUUGCUGCUGUUUAAGCCACUGAGUCCGUGGUGUUUUGUUAUGGAAGGCUGUUAACUAAUACAGGGUUCAAGGAUGAACACAAAAGCAUCAUUGCUACUCAAGAGCUCACCAUACAUCAGGACAGACAGUGGUAUGGGCCCUGGUAUUAGAAUGCUAGCGUUCCAGGAUGCAGAGAGGAAAUACCAACUAACUCCUCUUUCUUGGAGACCAUGGAUGUCUUCACAGAGAAGGCAAGAUUAAGCUGAGCAGUAAAGGAUGAGAGCAGUUGACCCAGAAGAGAAGAGGAGAGAAAAACAUCCCAGGUAGAAUGAACAGAACGGGUACAAUGCUCACAUGUGGAAAUGCACAGUGCUUUCUGGCAACCAGCAACGGUGCAGCUGGCAUGUUGAACAGAUGGGAGGUUCUCAGGGGAUGAGGCUGAAAAGCAAGAUUGGAGCAAUAUUUUAUAGUGAGUAGAGGGUGACGAAAAGAAGUUUGAAAUUCUUUCUUAGAUAAAGGAUUUUUAUGCAUGGAAACUGUGACAUGUUAGAUCCUAACCACAUUUUUAGGAUCUGAGGACAGGGUCUAAGGUAGAGGAAAGAUCAACCCCAAGCCAGAGAGACAAGUUAUGGAGUGAGUUCCAUGGCCCAGACAGGAAUGUCAAAAACCUCAUCUAGGGCAGCGGCAAUGGACAUGGAGGUGCACAGAAAGAUGAUGAAUAGUGGCAAAUUCAAGAGUAAAAGGAUUCCUUAAAUGUCUCUGUUUCCAGAGUUCCCAUCAUGGCUCAGUGGUUAACAAAUCCAACUAGGAACCAUGAGGUUGCGGGUUCGAUCCCUGGCCUUGCUCAGUGGGUUAAGGAUCCAGCAUUGCCAUGAGCUGUGGUGUAGGUUGCUGAUGCAGCUCAGAUCCUGCGUUGCUGUGGCUCUGGCAUAGGCUGGUGGCUACAGUUCCGAUUUGACCCCUAGCCUGGGAACCUCCAUAUGCUGUGGGAGCAGCCCUAGAAAAGGCAAAAAGACAAAAAAAAAAGAAAAAAGAAAAAAAAAAGUCUCUCUUUCCUACUGUCUAGUCUUUGGGACUAUCUCUAAGGAAGAUGUUGACAUCAAUAGGACCAGGAAGCAGAAAGUAGAGGCUAGGAUCAGAGGUCCUGCAAGUCUAAACCUCAGUCAUCCUGCUGAUGCUAUAAAUGGUAGAUAUUCAACCCCAUCCUCUGAGCCCAUUGAAGGGAUGGAGACAAAACACAAAGAGUGGAAAGAAACCAUGUUUGCACGAGAAAAAUUUUACAUGUCAGUCAAAGUGGACAGAGGCUAGAACAGCCCACCGAAGAGGAUCAUGAACUCACUCCUCUCCUGGAGGAUGGUUGAAACCAUUUCUUGGAAAGUCUAGGUUGCAUUUCAUGAAGAUAAGGCAUAUUUGAGUAUUAUGUGUCUAGAUUAUGCUAACUCCAAAUGGAAAAAACAUCACAUUGACCGGACUACACCACUCAGAGCCCAUGGUCUCCACACCCAUCAGCAUCUCUGAGUGAGUGUACAGCUCCAAGAAAGGCUUAUCCAAUGAGAACAGAGGACCAAGCAGCAAGGUAAUGGAUAUGGGAGAGUGAACAUGACUGAAGGCAAAGUGCUAGAAUCUUGAGCUGAGAAGUCAACCUGGAAAAUGAGGAAUGAACCUGAGCAUGGAAAUCAUGUAGAGGAAGCACCUGCUGGUAUCAAGAGCAAACACUCAGUCGCUGGUUUCCCCUCUUUUCCAGCUUCCAUGCAUUUCCCAAUGCUUCCUUCCCAGAUAAGACUUUGAAUAGAAAAUGAUCCUUGCUUGGUUUUCCCUGAAAUGCCCCACUGAGGGCCUUAAGACAUCCAACAUUCCUCCAACUCUUCUCUCCGGAAGAGUACAAGACUAGGGCUGAAAUGAGGGCUCUUGGGCAGGCAGAGGAGUGAGGGGAGUCUGGCAGAGGGGUGUACACAGUCUCCUUCAGAGGGAAAGAGAGUCAGGGUUUUGCCUCUGGGUUGGAGAGAGGCUUAGCCCCCUCCCCUGCCACAGCCAAACAGCAGUUCUGACCGAUCCCUUCCCAGAUGAAUCAUAGGGUAAUGGAAAGUACUUUGGUAUCAGCAUCUUGAGGGAACAGAGUUUUCAGGUUGGCCCCUAAGAUGGAUGGCCACCCUCAUACUCCUAUUCUCAACAAGACCCUGCCUGUCUUCUGUAAUAUAUCAUGAUCAAUAAUAUCUACUCCCAUCCCCUCUGGCAGUUAGUUUCCUGGUCUCUGCAACCCCAUUCCAAUUAAGUGGAGAUAUUCCUGGUCUUUACUGUCUUAGAAAUACAAUUUUCAACCCUCAUUCUCCUCCACGCCUGGUCAUGGGACAUCAUCAGGAACUUCUUCCGUGAAAGCAGUGAGCCAAUGCAAGUUCGACAUGGCUGUGUGUGCCAAUGCUUGCAAUCCAUCUACCAUGCUCGGCUGCUCUCCUGAGCAGGUGUGUCUGGUGGAACCAGCUGACCAUGGUCUAGGCUUCCACUGCUCAGCAUGGGUUCACAGUGUCCUUGCCUCAAUUCCUUUUUAGGGCUGUGAUAGGAAGAGUUGCGGUCCAAGAACACCUCUCCUAAUAAGCUGAAUUACCACAGCCUGAAGUUUCAUUCUCAGUAAGCAAUGACUAAUUCGGUGCACUGAAUCUAAAGCUGCUGCUGGAAUUGAGAGGCUUCCUUAGUCCAUAAAGAAGGUCACUGCCAUGAAUCUGAAUCACAAGGGGGUUAUAGGUAGGGCUGUUCCUGGUCAUCACUGUGCCAUGGCUUUACUCCAAUGUUCAGCCACAUGUGAAACUGGGAUAGCUUCAGAGAGGAACAAGAGAGAAGAGCAGUAAGUCACAGUGAGUUAUGGACAAAAGGGAAAACAGACAGAGAAGGCACUGUUGCCAUGCCUACAGCUGCAGUUCCACAGUAGUAACCUCUUUUAUUCACAAGUGCCAGCUCCACCCCUCCCUCCCCGCUGCCUUUUAGACUCAUUGCUCAACCCCCUGGUCUCCACACAAACAUGGAGUCAUAGGAAAUUGCCCUGAUUUAGUAAAUCCUAGAGUCUGCCUUUGUUAUUACUUGUGAAGGUUUGUUUUUGGGAAAUUGAGGAGAGAGCCAGCCAGUUAAACGGUAAGCACGUUAAAUCUCUCCCAUAGGAGUGAACCAAGAGGGCAUUUGACAUUAAGUUUGGCUAAACUUUUAGAUUCUUUCUUUUGGUCCCUGACUUUCCUUGUCUUAGUGCAUUUACUUUAGAAAACUUGCAAUUAAAAAUCUCUUCUUUGCCCCUUUUGAGAUGCAAAUUUUCUCCUGGACUCUUUCCAGUUUUUUUAGAAUCCAGGAAUGUCCUCAAGGACUGGGAUUCAUCCCCUUGAACUGUAACCAUGAAGGAAAUAAAGAUGCUCAUCUCUCAGUAUCUGUAGGAGGAAAGGACUCUAAUUUUGGUCAUCAAUUAGCAAACACAAAAGGCCUAAGGACACUGAGGAAACUCCCCUUAAUGACCUCCAGUACCUCCUAGUAGUUAAAUGCAACACUUAACAACUCUCCCACCUUUUGUUUCAGAGGAAUUGAGUUUAAUCUCAAUCCCUCCCUCCCUCUCUCUCAGCAUUUAUCUUGACCUCUAUUCCAAUAGUCUUGAGAGAGAUUGGAGCAGAAUCCAGAGUCUGAAUCCAGUGGAUUCACUUCCUGAAUUUUGUACAGCUAUAAAGGACUUUCUCUAAAACCAAAAGCUGGUCAAAAGUUGGACAUUAAGUCUACUUCCUGAAAGUGUUCCAUCCCUGAAGUUGGAGUGAGGUGCAAUGGGCAUUUUUUGAGAACUUUCUAUAGAUUGGGCUCAAGAUCCUUCCAGUGCUAAGCAGACAGGAUCAACUUUCAUUACCAUCAGUAUGCGUACGUGUGACCACAUGUCCUUGCAAAAUGACUGUAA
This 7069-nucleotide long non-coding RNA is filed under the name Sus scrofa (pig). RNAcentral's name for it is "lncRNA (ENSSSCG00000062038.1)". Lineage: Eukaryota; Metazoa; Chordata; Mammalia; Artiodactyla; Suidae. The record is from RNAcentral.